This 77-nucleotide transfer RNA is filed under the name Tsukamurella paurometabola DSM 20162. Its description in RNAcentral is "tRNA-Lys". It matches the Rfam family "tRNA". From Rfam's summary of the family: Transfer RNA (tRNA) molecules are approximately 80 nucleotides in length. Their secondary structure includes four short double-helical elements and three loops (D, anti-codon, and T loops). Further hydrogen bonds mediate the characteristic L-shaped molecular structure. tRNAs have two regions of fundamental functional importance: the anti-codon, which is responsible for specific mRNA codon recognition, and the 3' end, to which the tRNAs corresponding amino acid is attached (by aminoacyl-tRNA synthetases). tRNAs cope with the degeneracy of the genetic code in two manners: having more than one tRNA (with a specific anti-codon) for a particular amino acid; and 'wobble' base-pairing, i.e. permitting non-standard base-pairing at the 3rd anti-codon position. RNAcentral also lists the same sequence under 1 other name. Lineage: Bacteria; Bacillati; Actinomycetota; Actinomycetes; Mycobacteriales; Tsukamurellaceae. The record is from RNAcentral.
GCCCCCCUAGCUCAAUUGGUCAGAGCAGUGGACUUUUAAUCCAUUGGUUGUGGGUUCGAGUCCCACGGGGGGUACAA